RNAcentral lists this long non-coding RNA (681 nucleotides) under Heterocephalus glaber (naked mole-rat). RNAcentral describes it as "lncRNA (ENSHGLG00000047827.1)". The record is from RNAcentral. Lineage: Eukaryota; Metazoa; Chordata; Mammalia; Rodentia; Bathyergidae.
GGCAGGGGAGGAGCUUUUCAUUUGGCUAUGUGAACUCCAGUCAGCUGAGAGUCAGAGCUGGAGAAAUGCUGCUUUUUCAGGUUGCCCAUGAGACACAGAAAAGAGGGCUGAGUUUCUGUCAUCUGGCAAGAAGAUCCAAUAAACAUGCUGUUUUUUUCUCCAAAGAACACAUGAGAUAAGUGAUGAAGAAAGAAUGCAAGUGUUGAAGCAAUAGCAAUAGCAACCAUGACCAGAAAACCUGCUAUAACUUCAGAAUUGUAGAUAUAAGGUCAUGAACUUACUAUCUUCCCAUGGAUUGACAGCCUAUCCUUGUUCUGCCUGGCUCACUAGAGGCAUGCAUCUCUCCAAGGAGCCAACAUCUUGAUUGACAAGGGGAUGAGACUACAAAAGCUGGGACCAUUUCUCUGAGAAAAAAGGAGGACUCAAGAAGAACUAUGUCUUGAGUGGGUGUGGAGUGAAGUGGGUGAUGAAUGCCACCUGGACCCAACCAGCCAGCCAAGUGCUGGGCUGCAGCCCAUGCAGCCCAUGCUCAGGGCUCUCCCUGGUAACUAUCUCCUUCAGGGCCGAGGCUUCACUUCAGCCCCUGGCCCUGUGUUCUGGCCCGGCACAUAAUGAUUCUGAGCUCUGGCAUUUCAAGAGUCUGUUUUUAAAAAAUGUGGCACUCUGAUCCAUCCACUGUUG